AAGGUCUCCUAUGCCACCGCCAUGGACUGGUUUAUAGCCGUGUGUUUCGCGUUU
Danio rerio (zebrafish) is the source of this 54-nucleotide non-coding RNA. The record is from Rfam. NCBI's taxonomy places the organism in Eukaryota, Metazoa, Chordata, Actinopteri, Cypriniformes, Danionidae.